GAUGAACGCUGGCGGCGUGCUUAACACAUGCAAGUCGAACGGUGAAGCAGGAGCUUGCUCUUGUGGAUCAGUGGCGAACGGGUGAGUAACACGUGAGCAACCUGCCCCUGACUCUGGGAUAAGCGCUGGAAACGGCGUCUAAUACUGGAUAUGUGAUGUGACCGCAUGGUCUGCAUCUGGAAAGAAUUUCGGUUGGGGAUGGGCUCGCGGCCUAUCAGCUUGUUGGUGAGGUAAUGGCUCACCAAGGCGUCGACGGGUAGCCGGCCUGAGAGGGUGACCGGCCACACUGGGAAGGAGACACGGCCCAGACUCCUACGGGAGGCAGCAGUGGGGAAUAUUGCACAAUGGGCGGAAGCCUGAUGCAGCAACGCCGCGUGAGGGAUGACGGCCUUCGGGUUGUAAACCUCUUUUAGCAGGGAAGAAGCGAAAGUGACGGUACCUGCAGAAAAAGCACCGGCUAACUACGUGCCAGCCGCCGCGGUAA
This 484-nucleotide ribosomal RNA is filed under the name uncultured bacterium. Its description in RNAcentral is "partial 16S ribosomal RNA". It matches the Rfam family "Bacterial small subunit ribosomal RNA", at positions 28 to 523 of the family's 1533-position model. The record is from RNAcentral.